This 370-nucleotide ribosomal RNA is filed under the name uncultured organism. RNAcentral describes it as "partial 16S ribosomal RNA". It matches the Rfam family "Bacterial small subunit ribosomal RNA", at positions 527 to 896 of the family's 1533-position model. The record is from RNAcentral.
GUAGGUGGCAAGCGUUGUCCGGAAUUAUUGGGCGUAAAGCGCGCGCAGGCGGUUCUUUAAGUCUGAUGUGAAAGCCCACGGCUCAACCGUGGAGGGUCAUUGGAAACUGGAGAACUUGAGUACAGAAGAGGAAAGCGGAAUUCCACGUGUAGCGGUGAAAUGCGUAGAGAUGUGGAGGAACACCAGUGGCGAAGGCGGCUUUCUGGUCUGUAACUGACGCUGAGGCGCGAAAGCGUGGGGGAGCAAACAGGAUUAGAUACCCUGGUAGUCCACGCCGUAAACGAUGAGUGCUAAGUGUUAGGGGGUUUCCGCCCCUUAGUGCUGCAGCUAACGCAUUAAGCACUCCGCCUGGGAGUACGGCCGCAGGCUG